AGCAUCCUGCCUUGUGCGAUUUGUUGCAGCUUUAAAUAAUCCUACUAAUCAAAUUCAGGGAGCCCGGAGUUGACCGCCGGACCGCAGACCUCCCGCCCAUCAAGGGGAGCACGGAAGAAGGGAGUGGAAAAGCGGCCACAGGGCACCCACCUGCCAUCCGGUAGGUUUUGAUUGGCUGCAGACGGCAAGGCGGGGCUAUU
This 200-nucleotide non-coding RNA is filed under the name Gemmiger sp. An50. Its description in RNAcentral is "6S RNA". It matches the Rfam family "6S / SsrS RNA". From Rfam's summary of the family: E. coli 6S RNA was the first non coding RNA to be sequenced, but its function was unknown until recently. It consists of 184 nucleotides that fold into an extended hairpin structure with a large single-stranded internal bulge. Lineage: Bacteria; Bacillati; Bacillota; Clostridia; Eubacteriales; Oscillospiraceae. The record is from RNAcentral.